GAUGAACGCUGGCGGCGUGCUUAACACAUGCAAGUCGAGCGAAGCGCUUUGGGAAGAUUCUUCGGAUGAUUUCCUUUGUGACUGAGCGGCGGACGGGUGAGUAACGCGUGGGUAACCUGCCUCAUACAGGGGGAUAACAGUUAGAAAUGACUGCUAAUACCGCAUAAGACCACGGUACCGCAUGGUACAGUGGUAAAAACUCCGGUGGUAUGAGAUGGACCCGCGUCUGAUUAGGUAGUUGGUGGGGUAACGGCCUACCAAGCCGACGAUCAGUAGCCGACCUGAGAGGGUGACCGGCCACAUUGGGACUGAGACACGGCCCAGACUCCUACGGGAGGCAGCAGUGGGGAAUAUUGCACAAUGGAGGAAACUCUGAUGCAGCGACGCCGCGUGAAGGAUGAAGUAUUUCGGUAUGUAAACUUCUAUCAGCAGGGAAGAAAAUGACGGU
Molecule: ribosomal RNA, 448 nt
Filed under: uncultured bacterium
Lineage: Bacteria
Description: bacterial SSU rRNA
Rfam family: Bacterial small subunit ribosomal RNA
Source: RNAcentral